CUUCAACCAAGGACAUCAGCCUCACUUUAGGUAGGGUAGGGCAGACCUGGGAGACAUGGCUUCCUCCAUCAGUCUGGGUCUUGUGCAUUCCUUGGGAUUCCUCUAGAGACCAGGCAAACACAUGACUGUCCUCAGGCCUGUUAUUCUUAGGAAGGUAUAACUUAUAUUCUAUAAGGAGGGCCUAGUGACAGCUGUAUUAGUCCUUUCUGGUGGCAUUUGGGAGCCACCACAUUAGCAACCCCAUCAGUAUAGCCUGUCUGGUCUUGCCUUUGCUGCCAAAGUCUGCCUGUGCAAAGGGGCUUAGCCAGCAGCUAACUGGUCUCUGAAAGCUGGCAAUUCACAUAGAAAUGUUCCUUAACUUUCAAUGAGAUUAUGUCCCAGUAAACCCAUCUCAAGUUGAAAAUAUCCUAAAUCCAAUAUGCAUUUAAUCCACCAAACCUACCAUGCAUCCUAUAGCUGAGCAACACAGCACACUGUAGAGCAUUGGCUGUGCCCCUUGUGAUUGGUUGGGAUGACUGGGGGCUGUGAUUAGCACUGUCCAGUGUCACAAGGGAGGAUCAGAAGGCAUACCCCUAGCCUGGGGAAAAAUCCAAAUUCAUAGUUCCAAGUAUGGCUUCUAUGGAAUGCAUGUUGCUUUCCCAUCAUCAUAAAGUAAACAAAAACAAAAACAAAAACAAAAAAAACAAAAUCAUAAAUUAGAACAUUGUAAGUCAAAUUGCCAUAAGUCAGGGGUGAUUUGCUGUUGAAUAUUAACCACUGCACUCAUGAUGAAUGCUGCCAUUCUGGAAGAAACCAGAAGUCAGUUACAGCAGUCUUAACUACCAUUUGAAGGUUUGAAGAAGUGUGUCAAAGAGAAGCAAAGAAAAAUCAAGAACUCUUCCCAAGAGACACAAGAUCUGAGUCUGAGGAGAAGCAGGAAGCUAGCCCCAAAACCAGAGCAUGAACCCAGCAAGUCAGGCUCAAAAGAAGCCAAGACUGAAACCUGAAUAAGACGUGCAGAAAUGACUCAUCACUGCAGUCAAAACUUUCUUCUGGGGAUUUAACCUACUUUUCUAUUUCAAAACUUGGUGCUGUUCGACAAGUGACGGCUGGCUCCGUCGCGGGUGGCGCCCGAACAGGGACCUGAAUACGGGGGACCAUAGUGAAGGACACCGCGGAUCGUGAGCUUGGAUAAGUAAAUUAAGGGCGGUGAAUGCACUCGGGAGUAGCAAGAUGGGUAAUGGUAAUAGCCGAAUGUUUUUUGAACAUAUGCUUAAAAAUACGCUUCGCGCUCGUGGAGCAAAGGUAGGGCGUCAACAAUUAUGUAAUUUUUUAGAAUUUGUAGAGAAAGUUUGUCCUUGGUCCUCUGAAGAAGGCACAGUAGAUUUAGAAGUAUGGAAUAAGGUGGGAAGGCAACUUCAGGACUAUUACGAUGGUCAUGGACCCACUAAAGUCCCUAUAGAUGCUUUUAGUUUAUGGGCUUUAAUUAGAGAUAGUUUGGAUCCUCAGCAUGAGGGAGAGAGGGUUGAAGGACCCUCAAGUCCUUCCUCGGAGGAGCCCGACAAGGCUGGUGUUCCCGAGGUUGUCCCUCCGCCUCCUAUAGAAAGUGGAACUAAGCCAUCUGCUCCGCCAGUGUAUGCUGAUGCGGAGUCUGCACUAAGGAAGGGUUUUUUUCCGGAUGAGGGAGCCCUAAACCCGGGAGAUGCUGAUGAUUUGGAAGAAGAGGCUGCUAGGUAUAACAGUGAGGAUUGCCCCCCCCCCACAUCAUAGCCGUGGCCAGGAAAACUGAAAAAUCCAGACAGCCAGAGAAUGAGGACGUGACUGAAAGGAUUACUAGGUUGGAAAAGAGAUUGGAGUCUCUUUGUCAGCAGUGGCAGACAGGCUUAACGGUGGAAGAAGAAGACCAGAAGGCUCAGGCCGAGGGAGGCAUAGUUCCUAGUAUAAUCGCUGGUCUUGAUCCCCCGCCGGUUGCAGGUCCAAGAUUAAUGAAAGAAACUGACCCUCUUAUAGCCAUGAUUAAACAUCCCCCAGGACCCAGG
Long non-coding RNA from Heterocephalus glaber (naked mole-rat), 2018 nucleotides. The record is from Ensembl. NCBI's taxonomy places the organism in Eukaryota, Metazoa, Chordata, Mammalia, Rodentia, Bathyergidae.